RNAcentral lists this transfer RNA (59 nucleotides) under Oxyrrhis marina. Lineage: Eukaryota; Dinophyceae; Oxyrrhinales; Oxyrrhinaceae. The record is from RNAcentral.
CGUGGCCAAGUGGUUAAGACACCAGACUGGUAACCUAGGGGUUGCAGGUUCGAGCCCGG